AGUGAACGCUGGCGGUAGGCCUAACACAUGCAAGUCGAACGGCAGCACAGUAAGAGCUUGCUCUUACGGGUGGCGAGUGGCGGACGGGUGAGGAAUACAUCGGAAUCUACUUUUUCGUGGGGGAUAACGUAGGGAAACUUACGCUAAUACCGCAUACGACCUACGGGUGAAAGCAGGGGAUCUUCGGACCUUGCGCGAUUGAAUGAGCCGAUGUCGGAUUAGCUAGUUGGCGGGGUAAAGGCCCACCAAGGCGACGAUCCGUAGCUGGUCUGAGAGGAUGAUCAGCCACACUGGAACUGAGACACGGUCCAGACUCCUACGGGAGGCAGCAGUGGGGAAUAUUGGACAAUGGGCGCAAGCCUGAUCCAGCCAUACCGCGUGGGUGAAGAAGGCCUUCGGGUUGUAAAGCCCUUUUGUUGGGAAAAAAAAGCAGCAGGUUAAUACCCCGCUGUUCCGACGGUACCCAAAGAAUAAGCACCGGCUAACUUCGUG
RNAcentral lists this ribosomal RNA (492 nucleotides) under uncultured bacterium. RNAcentral's name for it is "partial 16S ribosomal RNA". It matches the Rfam family "Bacterial small subunit ribosomal RNA", at positions 29 to 507 of the family's 1533-position model. The record is from RNAcentral.